RNAcentral lists this ribosomal RNA (813 nucleotides) under Formosimonas sp. RNAcentral describes it as "bacterial SSU rRNA". It matches the Rfam family "Bacterial small subunit ribosomal RNA", at positions 47 to 850 of the family's 1533-position model. Lineage: Bacteria; Pseudomonadati; Pseudomonadota; Betaproteobacteria; Burkholderiales; Burkholderiaceae. The record is from RNAcentral.
CUUUACACAUGCAAGUCGAACGGCAGCAUGGGAGUGCUUGCACUUCUGAUGGCGAGUGGCGAACGGGUGAGUAAUACAUCGGAACGUACCGUUUAGUGGGGGACAACUUCAAGAAAUUGAAGCUAAUACCGCAUACGAACUACGGUUGAAAGCAGGGGACCUUCGGGCCUUGUGCUAAACGAGCGGCCGAUGGAAGAUUAGCUAGUUGGUGGGGUAAAGGCUCACCAAGGCGACGAUCUUUAGCGGGUCUGAGAGGACGAUCCGCCACACUGGAACUGAGACACGGUCCAGACUCCUACGGGAGGCAGCAGUGGGGAAUUUUGGACAAUGGGGGCAACCCUGAUCCAGCAAUGCCGCGUGAGUGAAGAAGGCCUUCGGGUUGUAAAGCUCUUUUGUCAGGGAAGAAAUCCUUAGUACUAAUAAUGCUGGGGGAUGACGGUACCUGAAGAAUAAGCACCGGCUAACUACGUGCCAGCAGCCGCGGUAAUACGUAGGGUGCAAGCGUUAAUCGGAAUUACUGGGCGUAAAGCGUGCGCAGGCGGCCUGUUAAGUCAGAUGUGAAAUCCCCGAGCUCAACUUGGGAACUGCAUUUGAAACUGAUAGGCUAGAGUGUGUCAGAGGGAGGUAGAAUUCCACGUGUAGCAGUGAAAUGCGUAGAGAUGUGGAGGAAUACCAGUGGCGAAGGCGGCCUCCUGGGAUAACACUGACGCUCAUGUACGAAAGCGUGGGGAGCAAACAGGAUUAGAUACCCUGGUAGUCCACGCCCUAAACGAUGUCAACUGGUUGUUGGGUCUUCAUUGACUUAGUAACGAA